Molecule: ribosomal RNA, 639 nt
Filed under: uncultured marine bacterium
Lineage: Bacteria
Description: bacterial SSU rRNA
Rfam family: Bacterial small subunit ribosomal RNA
Source: RNAcentral
AGAGUUUGAUCCUGGCUCAGGAUGAACGCUGGCGGCGUGCCUAAUACAUGCAAGUCGAGCGAACUGAUUAGAAGCUUGCUUCUAUGACGUUAGCGGCGGACGGGUGAGUAACACGUGGGCAACCUGCCUGUAAGACUGGGAUAACUUCGGGAAACCGAAGCUAAUACCGGAUAGGAUCUUCUCCUUCAUGGGAGAUGAUUGAACGAUGGUUUCGGCUAUCACUUACAGAUGGGCCCGCGGUGCAUUAGCUAGUUGGUGAGGUAACGGCUCACCAAGGCAACGAUGCAUAGCCGACCUGAGAGGGUGAUCGGCCACACUGGGACUGAGACACGGCCCAGACUCCUACGGGAGGCAGCAGUAGGGAAUCUUCCGCAAUGGACGAAAGUCUGACGGAGCAACGCCGCGUGAGUGAUGAAGGCUUUCGGGUCGUAAAACUCUGUUGUUAGGGAAGAACAAGUACGAGAGUAACUGCUCGCACCUUGACGGUACCUAACCAGAAAGCCACGGCUAACUACGUGCCAGCAGCCGCGGUAAUACGUAGGUGGCAAGCGUUAUCCGGAAUUAUUGGGCGUAAAGCGCGCGCAGGCGGUUUCUUAAGUCUGAUGUGAAAGCCCACGGCUCAACCGUGGAGGGUCAUUG